This 26-nucleotide ribosomal RNA is filed under the name Strombidium sp. Its description in RNAcentral is "partial large subunit ribosomal RNA". Lineage: Eukaryota; Ciliophora; Spirotrichea; Strombidiidae. The record is from RNAcentral.
AGCAUCUAGGAUCAGGCUUGAAGACC